GAUGAACGCUGGCGGCGUGCCUAAUACAUGCAAGUCGAGCGAACAGACGAGGAGCUUGCUCCUCUGACGUUAGCGGCGGACGGGUGAGUAACACGUGGAUAACCUACCUAUAAGACUGGGAUAACUUCGGGAAACCGGAGCUAAUACCGGAUAAUAUAUUGAACCGCAUGGUUCAAUAGUUAAAGACGGUUUUGCUGUCACUUAUAGAUGGAUCCGCGCCGCAUUAGCUAGUUGGUAAGGUAACGGCUUACCAAGGCAACGAUGCGUAGCCGACCUGAGAGGAUGAUCGGCCACACUGGAACUGAGACACGGUCCAGACUCCUACGGGAGGCAGCAGUAGGGAAUAUUCCGCAAUGGGCGAAAGCCUGACGGAGCAACGCCGCGUGAGUGAUGAAGGUCUUCGGAUCGUAAAACUCUGUUAUUAGGGAAGAACAAAUGUGUAAGUAACUAUGCACGUCUUGACGGUACCUAAUCAGAAAGCCACGGCUAACUACGUG
Molecule: ribosomal RNA, 497 nt
Filed under: uncultured bacterium
Lineage: Bacteria
Description: partial 16S ribosomal RNA
Rfam family: Bacterial small subunit ribosomal RNA
Source: RNAcentral